Molecule: ribosomal RNA, 257 nt
Filed under: uncultured bacterium
Lineage: Bacteria
Description: partial 16S ribosomal RNA
Rfam family: Bacterial small subunit ribosomal RNA
Source: RNAcentral
CUUGACCUACGGGGGGCAGCAGUGGGGAAUAUUGCACAAUGGGGGAAACCCUGAUGCAGCGACGCCGCGUGAGUGAAGAAGAAUCUCGGUACGCAAAGCUCUAUCAGCAGGGAAGAAAAUGACGGUACCUGACUAAGAAGCCCCGGCUAACUACGUGCCAGCAGCCGCGGUAAUACGUAGGGGGCAAGCGUUAUCCGGAUUUACUGGGUGUAAAGGGAGCGUAGACGGCAGCACAAGUCUGAAGUGAAAGCCCGUGG